This 1457-nucleotide ribosomal RNA is filed under the name bacterium enrichment culture clone B6(2011). RNAcentral describes it as "bacterial SSU rRNA". It matches the Rfam family "Bacterial small subunit ribosomal RNA". The record is from RNAcentral.
AUUAGAGUUUGAUCAUGGCUCAGGAUGAACGCUGGCGGCGUGCUUAACACAUGCAAGUCGAACGAACCUUCGGGUUAGUGGCGGACGGGUGAGUAACGCGUGAGAAUCUGCCCUCAGGAGGGGGAUAACGGCUGGAAACGGCCGCUAAUACCCCAUAUGCCGAGAGGUGAAAUGAAUUUCGCCUGAGGAUGAGCUCGCGUCUGAUUAGCUAGUUGGUGGGGUAAAGGCCUACCAAGGCGACGAUCAGUAGCUGGUCUGAGAGGAUGAUCAGCCACACUGGGACUGAGACACGGCCCAGACUCCUACGGGAGGCAGCAGUGGGGAAUUUUCCGCAAUGGGCGAAAGCCUGACGGAGCAACGCCGCGUGAGGGAUGAAGGCCUCUGGGCUGUAAACCUCUUUUCUCAAGGAAGAAGAUCUGACGGUACUUGAGGAAUAAGCCACGGCUAAUUCCGUGCCAGCAGCCUCGGUAAUACGGGAGUGGCAAGCGUUAUCCGGAAUUAUUGGGCGUAAAGCGUCCGCAGGCGGCCUUGUAAGUCUGUCGUUAAAGCGUGGAGCUUAACUCCAUUUCAGCGAUGGAAACUACAAGGCUUGAGUGUGGUAGGGGCAGAGGGAAUUCCCGGUGUAGCGGUGAAAUGCGUAGAUAUCGGGAAGAACACCAGUGGCGAAGGCGCUCUGCUGGGCCAUAACUGACGCUCAUGGACGAAAGCCAGGGGAGCGAAAGGGAUUAGAUACCCCUGUAGUCCUGGCCGUAAACGAUGAACACUAGGUGUCGGGGGAAUCGACCCCCUCGGUGUCGUAGCCAACGCGUUAAGUGUUCCGCCUGGGGAGUACGCACGCAAGUGUGAAACUCAAAGGAAUUGACGGGGGCCCGCACAAGCGGUGGAGUAUGUGGUUUAAUUCGAUGCAACGCGAAGAACCUUACCAGGGUUUGACAUCCUGCGAAUCCCUUGGAAACGAGGGAGUGCCUUCGGGAGCGCAGUGACAGGUGGUGCAUGGCUGUCGUCAGCUCGUGUCGUGAGAUGUUGGGUUAAGUCCCGCAACGAGCGCAACCCACGUCGUUAGUUGCCAGCAUUCAGUUGGGCACUCUAGCGAGACCGCCGGUGAUAAACCGGAGGAAGGUGUGGAUGACGUCAAGUCAUCAUGCCCCUUACAUCCUGGGCUACACACGUACUACAAUGCUACGGACAAAGGGCAGCAAACUCGCGAGAGCUAGCAAAUCCCAUAAACCGUGGCUCAGUUCAGAUCGUAGGCUGCAACUCGCCUACGUGAAGGAGGAAUCGCUAGUAAUCGCAGGUCAGCAUACUGCGGUGAAUACGUUCCCGGGCCUUGUACACACCGCCCGUCACACCAUGGAAGUUGGCCACGCCCGAAGUCGUUACUCCAACCCUUGUGGAGGAGGACGCCGAAGGUGGGGCUGAUGACUGGGGUGAAGUCGUAACAAGGUAACCGUAGAAUC